UUAUCCGGGCUUGAGACCGGCUAAACACAAACUACUUAGGGGAAGUUCUAACCCCACUUAAAUAUAAAGAAGGAAAAAAAACCAGUCACAAUUCCCCCAAAGCAAUCAUGACUUUACUACCACCUAACUCCACUUAAAUAUAAAGAAGAAAAAAAAAAUCACAAUUCCCUCAAAGCUUCACAUAUGCACCUCCUCCUCCUCCUCCAUCUGCAACUUUGGUCCUGUGUUUUUUCUUUUUUCCAAGAAACAUGUUUCAUAAGAGGAAGCACAUGUCCAUCUUUCUCUAUUUCCGAACAAUGCCUCUUCUUGUCCUAAGUUUUUUUUUUUUUUUUUUCAAGAAACGUGUUUCAUAAGAGAAAACGCGUGUCCAUCUUUCUCUAUUUCCGGAGGACAUGGCCCCAACACGUGUCCCGCCGUAUCCAUGUCGAAAACGUCUCCAAAAAGGGCAAAUUUCAGUCCACACCAUUUCCAUGCUUCAUAGUAUGGGAAUAUAAACACAUAUUUACUUCCUACUCUAUAACACUUCCCCUUAAGUUCAAUAUUGAAUUUCAUCAAUUCCAAUAUUCCUUAAUGAGAUUCUUAUUGAAGCCGACAUCUCUCUCAUAACAACUCACAAAUUGCACAAAAAGCAAAACCAGCAACUCACCAGGCAGAUUUAGAAACACCUGCAUAAAGGCACCAACACAAAACAACUCACAGGGUUGCACUUCCUCUCCAAAGGUGACGCCAGCAAGGAAACACCAACACAACAUAACUCAUAAGGCUGCACUUCCCUCUUCAAAGGUGACACCGGUAAGUAAAAGAUGAAACAAUAGGUUAAUCUUUAUCUAAUAGCUCAUAGGACCCAAAUAUAAAAACUUCAAGGAGUAUCGAAUGAGUCAAGUCCAAAAGUAGAAACCAAAAACAAAUAGGCGAGGAUCACAUGGCCCUAACAUAGAAGCAUAAUAACCUACGAAAAUAUACUUAACAAAACAAUUACCAGAAUAGCCAUAGAAUACCCUAAUUUUAGUCUCAACAAUCAUAACAAUAAACUUUCCAAAUUCAGGUGAUCUAAAUGUAACACCCUCACUGUAGCAAUUCCGUACAUUAUACUGUUCCGAUGACCGGUGUCGGUCCGAACAGCUAGAAUAUCCUGAAAAAAAUAUUUAGACUAGAGUGAGGAGUCAUAAAUAACUCAAAUAAUGAUAAGAAAAAUUAAAGAAAAUUUAAGAAAUAAAAUAUAACAAAGUUAAAUAAGUCGUAGCUCCAACGAUAGGUGACCUAACGGGAAGCUACUGUGAAGACAGUUAGCGACCCUAGACCCGUAGGGAAACCCCAUGAAAUAAUUUUUUGGACUCCAGAGAAGAGUUAUUGAGGUUUCGA
RNAcentral lists this unclassified non-coding RNA (1362 nucleotides) under Hevea brasiliensis (rubber tree). The record is from RNAcentral. Lineage: Eukaryota; Viridiplantae; Streptophyta; Magnoliopsida; Malpighiales; Euphorbiaceae.